This is a long non-coding RNA of Bradysia coprophila, 152 nucleotides long. The record is from RefSeq and is a predicted model, not a curated record. NCBI's taxonomy places the organism in Eukaryota, Metazoa, Arthropoda, Insecta, Diptera, Sciaridae.
UAACAAAAAAAUUUCCUGAAUAAAAUGGCAUUACAUGCUUAUGCACGGUAAAGUGCACUUUACAUCACUGCUUGUGACAGGGAAAAUGAACUUAUCGUCCACAAACAUGUAAAAUGUGUUACAUCACUGCUUGUAAAUGCUUGUUUAGGCAC